RNAcentral lists this small nuclear RNA (107 nucleotides) under Propithecus coquereli (Coquerel's sifaka). The record is from RNAcentral. Lineage: Eukaryota; Metazoa; Chordata; Mammalia; Primates; Indriidae.
GUUCUCAUAUUGGUAGCACAUAUACUAAAAUUAGAAUAAUAUAGAGAAGAAUACCAUGGCCCCUGUACAAGGAUGACAUGCAAAUUUGUGAAGUGUUCCAUAUUUUC